GUACUGGCAUUGUUGGUUUCUCCCUUCUGACGAACCAUGAUGUCAUUUAUUUGGUGUUGUGGGGAAUCAGGACUGUUACUUUGAAAAAAUUAGAGUGUUUAAAGCAGGCUCACGCUUGAAUACAUUAGCAUGGAAUAAUGAAAUAGGACGUUUGAUUCUAUUUUGUUGGUUUCUAGGAUCGACGUAAUGAUUAAUAGGAAUAGUUGGGGGCAUUAGUAUUCAAUUGUCAGAGGUGAAAUUCUUGGAUUUAUUGAAGACUAACUACUGCGAAAGCAUUUGCCAAGGAUGUUUUCAUUAAUCAAUAACCAAAGUUAGGGGAUCGAAGACGAUCAGAUACCGUCGUAGUCUUAACCAUAAACUAUGCCGACUAAGGAUCGGAUGAUGUUAAUUUUUUAAUGACUCAUUCGGCGCCUUACG
Molecule: ribosomal RNA, 417 nt
Filed under: uncultured Glomeromycotina
Lineage: Eukaryota; Fungi; Glomeromycota
Description: SSU rRNA
Rfam family: Eukaryotic small subunit ribosomal RNA
Source: RNAcentral